AUCCAGCUGACGAGUCCCAAAUAGGAAAAAACGCGCGUCCUGGAU
RNAcentral lists this non-coding RNA (45 nucleotides) under Schistosoma mansoni. Lineage: Eukaryota; Metazoa; Platyhelminthes; Trematoda; Strigeidida; Schistosomatidae. The record is from RNAcentral.